CUGUAGGAUACGUGAUGAUAAACUUGGUCAUGUGACCCACAGGCAUGCACCGUGCAAGACUCCGACGCUCCAGAGGCAAAGCAGGCCGGUACUCGAUCUGAGCUGGAAGAAUGACAGGAAGUGGGAGGAGUCAGUCAGGGGUUAGGACUUAAUAUUUUGUUAAAAAUAACAUAUAAACAUGGACCAAUCCCGUCUCUCUGGAGAUGGGGAUUAAGGUUUAAGAGUGGAACUGUGUAUUAGAUGUGAUUUGGAUGAUGCGAUCGUUCCAGUCCUCGGGUCCUGAGAGAAGCGAUGCCCUCUGAGGCGAGUGCGCUGUGGGAUGAUUUAAACAUGAGGUUCGCAAUGGUGAUAAACUGGUGGCUAUAAACCUCCCAGAUCUGUAAACUACGUUAGCAUCAUAUCCUGAAUGCAGAAUUACGGAAGCAAAUGUUGUGGAUCAAAUAUCUGAGAGGGACAGAGAGACAGAGGGAAAGUAAGGGAGAGAGAGACAGGGGGAAAGGUAAGGGAGAGAGAGACAGAGGGAAAGUAAGGGAGAGAGAGACAGAGGGAAAGGUAAGGGAGAGAGAGACAGGGGGAAAGGUAAGGGAGAGAGAGACAGGGGGAAGUAAGGGAGAGAGAAAGAUAGGGGAAAGGUAAGGGAGAGAGAGACGGGGAAAGGUAAGGAAGAGAGAGAGACGGGGGAAAGUAAAUGAGACUGAGACAGGGGGAAAGUAAGGGAGAGAGAGACAGGGGGAAAGUAAAUGAGACUGAGACAGGGGUAAGUAAGGGAGAGGGAGACAGGGGAAAGUAAGUGAGAGAGAGACAGGGAGAAAGUAAGUGAGAGAGAGACAGGGGGAAGUAAGUGAGAGAGAGACAGGGAGAAAGUAAGGGAGAGAGAGACAGGGGGAUAGUAAGUGAGAGAGAGACAGGGGGAAGUAAGUGAGAGAGAGACAGGGAGAAAGUAAGGGAGAGAGAGACAGGGGGAUAGUAAGUGAGAGAGAGACAGGGGGAAAGUAAGGGAGAGAGAGACAGGGGGUAAGUAAGGGAGAGAGAGACAGGGGGAUAGUAAGUGAGAGAGAGACAGGGGGAAGUAAGUGAGAGAGAGACAGGGAGAAAGUAAGGGAGAGAGAGACAGGGGGAUAGUAAGUGAGAGAGAGACAGGGGGAAAGUAAGGGAGAGAGAGACAGGGGGGUAAUAAGUGAGAGAGAGACAGGGGGAAAGUAAGUGAGGGACACAAGAGAAAGCGACAGUGAGAGACAGACAGACAGGCAUUGGAGAGAGAUACAAAAAGACAUAGAAAGGAAGAGGAGACCGCGAGAGGAGGGGAACACUGAGGGAGAGAAACGGAGAGAGAUGAGAGAGACACACAGAGAGACAAAGACAGACACAGAGAGAUACAGAAAAAGAAAGAGAUACACCGGGUGAGAAAGACUCCGAGAGAGAGAGAGACACGAGUGAAAGAGCCUGAGGAAAAAAACGGAGGAAAAAGAAACGGUGAAAAGACACAGAUGGAGAGAUAUGAUAGAUUCACCAGAGAGAGAGAGAGAGAGAGAGAGAGAGAGAGAGAGAGAGAGAGAGCUGCAGUAUGAGGACAUUAUGGUGUAUGAGAGCAGACGUCUCGCAGCACUCUGAUCAGCUCGUCUUAUCGAUCUGAGUGCCGCGCUCUCUCAUAAGACAGCACUCUGCUAAAUUG
Molecule: long non-coding RNA, 1672 nt
Organism: Ictalurus punctatus (channel catfish)
Lineage: Eukaryota; Metazoa; Chordata; Actinopteri; Siluriformes; Ictaluridae
Source: Ensembl